GGGUCCGGAUAUCACUAUGAUCAGUGCUUCACCAUUCACUAGUUCAAAGGUCUUAGCUAUAGUCAAUAUCUCUAGAUGGUCGGUGUUUUCCAACUCAGUCAUCAUGGUUCGAAGUUUGGAUAUCUUGCAUUCAAUUAUUUUUCCAAGGAUCAAGGUUUGCCUUAGUUGUUGUCGGCAUAUUUUGUGGGGCCUCAAGACAUUUUCAUUGGUGGCUGGGUGUCUCU
This 224-nucleotide long non-coding RNA is filed under the name Elaeis guineensis (African oil palm). RNAcentral describes it as "long non-coding RNA (EGUI_LNC033795)". The record is from RNAcentral. Lineage: Eukaryota; Viridiplantae; Streptophyta; Magnoliopsida; Arecales; Arecaceae.